Molecule: ribosomal RNA, 497 nt
Filed under: uncultured bacterium
Lineage: Bacteria
Description: partial 16S ribosomal RNA
Rfam family: Bacterial small subunit ribosomal RNA
Source: RNAcentral
GAUGAACGCUGGCGGUGUGCCUAAUACAUGCAAGUCGAGCGAACGGACGAGAAACUUGCUUCUCUGAUGUUAGCGGCGGACGGGUGAGUAACACGUGGAUAACCUACCUAUAAGACCGGGAUAACUUCGGGAAACCGUAGCUAAUACCGGAUAAUAUUUUGAGCCUCAUGGUUCAAAAGUGAAAGACGGUCUUGCCGUCACUUAUAGAUGGAUCCGCGCUGCAUUAGCUAGUUGGUAAGGUAACGGCUUACCAAGGCAACGAUGCAUAGCUCACCUGAGAGGAAGAAAAAGCAAACUAUGACUGAGACAAGUUCCAGACUCGUACCGAAAGAAUCGAUCGGCAAUCUUACACAAUAGGCGAAGGCCUGACCCAGGAAGCCGUUGUGAAUCAUGAUGGUCUUCGGAUCGGAGAACACAAUUAUUAGUGAGAAACAUCUGUGUAAGUAGCUGUGCACACAAUGACGGUACCUGGGCAAAGAGGCACGGCUAACUACGUA